This is a non-coding RNA of Takifugu rubripes (torafugu), 74 nucleotides long. Lineage: Eukaryota; Metazoa; Chordata; Actinopteri; Tetraodontiformes; Tetraodontidae. The record is from Rfam.
GGCGCUGUGGCUUAGCUGGUUAUAGCACCUGUCUCGUAAACAGGAGAUCCUGGGUUCAAAUCCCAGCAGUGCCU